AUACGGAGGGUCCGAGCGUUAUCCGGAAUCAUUGGGUUUAAAGGGUACGUAGGCGGCCAAUUAAGUCAGUGGUGAAAUCCUGCAGCUCAACUGUAGAGGUGCCAUUGAUACUGGUUGGCCUGAGUACUGUUAAGGUAGGCGGUAUUGAUGGUGUAGCGGUGAAAUGCAUAGAUACCAUCAGGAACACCGAUUGCGAAGGCAGCUUACUGGGCAGUAACUGACGCUAAGGUACGAAAGCGUGGGGAGCGAACAGGAUUAGAAACCCCGGUAGUCC
This 274-nucleotide ribosomal RNA is filed under the name uncultured bacterium. RNAcentral describes it as "partial 16S ribosomal RNA". It matches the Rfam family "Bacterial small subunit ribosomal RNA", at positions 523 to 796 of the family's 1533-position model. The record is from RNAcentral.